Molecule: long non-coding RNA, 570 nt
Organism: Carcharodon carcharias (great white shark)
Lineage: Eukaryota; Metazoa; Chordata; Chondrichthyes; Lamniformes; Lamnidae
Exons: 3
Source: RefSeq, a predicted model, not a curated record
UUUCUCUUCAGUUUUUGUGGUGCAGUGACUGUAAGGCACGGCCACAACUGCUUACCGUUUUCGAGCAUGCUAGACUACGCUGCUUGGCCUCACUGCAACCAAUGCCAGGAGGGAGUCCUCGCCACAACUCUCACCAUGGGGAUCGUGGAGGACCAGGUAAACCCUGCAGACCAGUGAAGCCUCUGUGACCUUUCUGCCCUCUUUCACCGGUCUCACCAGCUUCACCCUUGUCACCACGAGGACCUUGAGGACCCUGAAGAGAAUAUUAAUCUAUUGCAAAUUAAACAAUACUGAUGUUCUGAAGACACUGAUACUUACAGGUUCACCUCUAUUUCCUUGUUUGCCAGUCGGGCCAACAGGACCUGGAGCGCCAGGGGCACCAGGAGCACCAGGGGCACCAGCAGGACCAGUUUGACCUCGGUCACCCUGUUCGGAAGGAGGAGAAAGCCAUUAUCAGCCAAUCACUGAUCUCCAGAGGACUGAAAUCUUUUUCAAUAAAUGAGCUUUCACUACUUCACAUGCAGGUUUAUUGGAGCAUGACAUGCAUUACCACAAUGAAUGGUUGAUGUA